Molecule: ribosomal RNA, 251 nt
Filed under: uncultured bacterium
Lineage: Bacteria
Description: partial 16S ribosomal RNA
Rfam family: Bacterial small subunit ribosomal RNA
Source: RNAcentral
GACGGGGGGGGCAAGUGUUCUUCGGAAUGACUGGGCGUAAAGGGCACGUAGGCGGUGAAUCGGGUUGAAAGUUAAAGUCGCCAAAAACUGGUGGAAUGCUCUCGAAACCAAUUCACUUGAGUGAGACAGAGGAGAGUGGAAUUUCGUGUGUAGGGGUGAAAUUCGUAGAUAUUCGGAAGAACACCAGUGGCGAAGGCGGCUCACUGGUCCGGUACUGACGCUGAGGUGCGAAAGCGUGGGGAGCAAACAGG